This 468-nucleotide ribosomal RNA is filed under the name uncultured bacterium. RNAcentral's name for it is "partial 16S ribosomal RNA". It matches the Rfam family "Bacterial small subunit ribosomal RNA", at positions 28 to 507 of the family's 1533-position model. The record is from RNAcentral.
AGUGAACGCUGGCGGCGUGCUUAACACAUGCAAGUCGAACGGAAAGGCCCUGCUUUUGUGGGGUGCUCGAGUGGCGAACGGGUGAGUAACACAUGAGUAACCUGCCCUUGACUUUGGGAUAACUUCAGGAAACUGGGGCUAAUACCGGAUAGGAGCUCCUGCUGCAUGGUGGGGGUUGGAAAGUUUCGGCGGUUGGGGAUGGACUCGCGGCUUAUCAGCUUGUUGGUGGGGUAGUGGCUUACCAAGGCUUUGACGGGUAGCCGGCCUGAGAGGGUGACCGGCCACAUUGGGACUGAGAUACGGCCCAGACUCCUACGGGAGGCAGCAGUGGGGAAUAUUGCACAAUGGGCGGAAGCCUGAUGCAGCAACGCCGCGUGCGGGAUGACGGCCUUCGGGUUGUAAACCGCUUUCGCCUGUGACGAAGCGUGAGUGACGGUAAUGGGUAAAGAAGCACCGGCUAACUACGUG